Molecule: ribosomal RNA, 115 nt
Filed under: Sinocyclocheilus rhinocerous
Lineage: Eukaryota; Metazoa; Chordata; Actinopteri; Cypriniformes; Cyprinidae
Source: RNAcentral
GCCAUGCCAUAUCACCCUGCAGCCCAAGACUGGUUGCCCACUGAAGCUAAGCAGGGUUGAGCCUGGUCAGUACCUGGAUGGGAGACCUCCUGGGAAAACUAGGUUGCUGUUGGAA